CCUGCCAUUUGUACACACCGCCCGUCGUUGCUACCGAUUGGCUGUGGGAUAGAGUUGAGGGGAGGUUCGUCAAGGCGUUCGCGUUUUGAUUUGGGCCAAAUCUCAACAAUAUUUCUCAGCUAGAGGAAGCAAAAGUCGUAACAAGGUUGCUGUAGGUGAACCUGCAGCAGGAUCAUUUAACGA
This 183-nucleotide ribosomal RNA is filed under the name Bdellovibrionales bacterium. Its description in RNAcentral is "partial 16S ribosomal RNA". It matches the Rfam family "Eukaryotic small subunit ribosomal RNA", at positions 1652 to 1831 of the family's 1831-position model. Lineage: Bacteria; Pseudomonadati; Bdellovibrionota; Bdellovibrionia; Bdellovibrionales. The record is from RNAcentral.